This 30-nucleotide non-coding RNA is filed under the name Cricetulus griseus (Chinese hamster). Lineage: Eukaryota; Metazoa; Chordata; Mammalia; Rodentia; Cricetidae. The record is from RNAcentral.
GGUGGGAGGGCUGAAGAAAACGUUCACAUU